UGGGGAAUAUUGCACAAUGGGGGAAACCCUGAUGCAGCGACGCCGCGUGAACGAAGAAGGUAUUCGUAUCGUAAAGUUCUGUCCUAUGGGAAGAUAAUGACAGUACCAUAGAAGAAAGCUCCGGCUAAAUACGUGCCAGCAGCCGCGGUAAUACGUAUGGAGCGAGCGUUGUCCGGAAUUAUUGGGCGUAAAGGGUACGCAGGCGGUUUAAUAAGUCGAAUGUUAAAGAUCGGGGCUCAACCCCGCAAAGCAUUGGAAACUGAUAAACUUGAGUAGUGGAGAGGAAAGUGGAAUUCCUAGUGUAGUGGUGAAAUACGUAGAUAGUAGGAGGAAUACCAGUAGCGAAGGCGACUUUCUGGACACAAACUGACGCUGAGGUACGAAAGCGUGGGGAGCAAGCAGG
RNAcentral lists this ribosomal RNA (403 nucleotides) under bacterium. RNAcentral describes it as "partial 16S ribosomal RNA". It matches the Rfam family "Bacterial small subunit ribosomal RNA", at positions 355 to 776 of the family's 1533-position model. The record is from RNAcentral.